UAGCCAACACCUAAGUGGAUUAUGAUAUUUUUCUCUCAUUUUAUAAGUUUAAUUUUCUUCAAAUUUAUUAUGAUUAUUUCUAAUUAAAAAUUUGAGAGAUAAAUAAAAUUUUAAGUAUGAUCAAUGAUUUAAUUAAUAGAUAUUGAGGUUCUAAAACUAUCCUAAGAUUGGUUUGAAUUGGUUAGAUUUUGAUUAGGAUUUGUUUAAGAAUUGAUUAGAAUUUAGAAUUUGAUUAGAAUUUGAUUUAGGAUUUGAUUAGAAUUUGAUUUAGGAUUUGAUUAGAAUUUGAUUUAAGAUUUUAUUAGAAUUUGAUUUAGGAUUUAGGAUCUAAUUAGGAUUUAUUUAGAAUUUAAGAUCUAAUUGGGAUUGAUUAAGGAUUUAGAAUUUCUGUAGGAUUUCUUUAAGAAUUUUUUUGGAUCUUUUUUUGGAUUUCUUUAGUAUUUCUUUUUUUAUUUCUUUUAGAUUUUUUUAGGUUUCUUUAGGAUUUCUUUAUUAUUUCUUUAUUAUUUUUUUAGAAGUUCUUUAAGAUUUCUUUGAAUUUUUUUUAUAAUUUAUUUAAAAUUUUAAUUAGACUUGAUUAAUAUUUGAUUAUGUUUUUCAAGCUUUAAUUAUAAUUUAUAUAUGAUCCUAUUUCAGUUGUUAGGAUUUGUUGUUAGAAUUUUCUUUUACCUUCUAGAAUCAAGUGCCUAAUAUAUUUUCAAGCAAGAUUUUGCAUAAUAUAAUAUAUUUGGUAAACUUGAGGUAAAAAGCUUGAAGUAGAAGAUGUUUGGAAUUUUUUUUGUUUAUUUGAAAUAUGAAAAACAAAGGCAAAUAUGAAAGGAGGAGCUUUUGGUGGUACUUGAGUUCAUGCUUCAAGUGGAGUUAGAAGUGGAGCUACAAGUAGAAGACAAGGUAUAUAUUUUGAUCUUAAUUCUAUAAGAAUUUUUGAUGCUUUUAUCCUAUUUAUGCAACAACAACAGGUUAAAGAUUGCAAAGAAGAUUUGGCAAACAAAACAUUAUAAGUGGUUAUGGACAAGAUUGAUUGAUUUAAAGGAAAAGAUAUUAUAAAAUAUUUAAAAUAUUAUGUAAAAGAAAUAGAAUUGAAGCAUGUUUUAAAGAAGGAGAUGGUUCAAUUAUUUGAAUUAGCUAUUGCAGUAGAGAUAAAGAAUCAUAUAAGGUCCAUUAUAGGACAUUUUGGAGGUUUAUGGAAAAAAUUAUUUCAAACAUUAAAGGAUGAUUGUUUUUUAGAAAAUAAUGAUAGAAUUAUAAAGAAGUCAUUUUUUGAAUGCAUUGAAAGAAAUAAGAAGGAUCUUUUAGCAAAAAAAAUAUUAUAAAAGUUCAAAAAGUAAUAUUCUUAUUUAUAAAAAUAAAAAAUAAAAAAAAUUAUUGGAUCUAAGUAAAGUAGAGUUUUUUCUUCAAGCAACUGAUGGAAAGUUGCAAGGAAAGUUAGAAAUCUUACUUGAAGAUAAAAAAAAAAAAAAAAAGAUGAAGAAUUAACAAUAAAUUGAAAAGAAGUAGAAGAGACCAUAGGAUUGUUUACAAAAAAUAAAAUAAAAUAAAAUAAAAUAAGGUUGAUAUUUAAAGACCAUUGUAAGUAUCUAAAAAAUAAAUAUAUAUUAUCCAUCCUACAUCUAUGAUUCAAUUUUUAAUGACUACAUCAAAAAAAAAAAAAAAAAAAAAAAAAAAAAUGGCUUUGAUGAAAUCAUACGAGGAAUGAAAGAUUUGCAAAUAAAAUUUUUAAAAGUUGAAGAGAAAGUUCGAUCAUCAAGAGUAUCAAUAAGAUAAAAUUUAAAGUCAAUAGAAGGUAUAGUACAUAAGUACAUAUAGUGUAAUAGCUUAGAUCAUUCAAAAAGAGAAUGUGAAAAUUUUACAAUGGCGCUACAUAAAGGGAUUGUUUGUUUCAAAGAUGGUAUGAUAUAUUUAAAAGAAAGUAGAAAACAAUUGGAGACAAAUUUUAAUAAAGAUAGAAUAAAAGUAUUUAUAAAAAGUGGUUUUAAAGUACAUACAAUCUUAAACAAUGAAGUAUUAAUAUAUUGGAUAGAAGCAAAUACAGACAAAUAUUUAAGCAUAAAUCUAAAAAAUUUAAAAGAAUCUAUUUUUUUGUGUUCAAAUACAAUGAAUUAUGCUAAAAAUAAAAAAAAUUAUUAGAGGUGAUUUAAAAUAUAUUAGCAAUAACAAUUGAAAAAUUAUUAGAGGGAAUGAUCCAAUAGAUAGAUUAUUGGUGCAUAUUUAUAUUGCAAGGAGUCAACAUGAAGUAUUAAAAGAAGAAAUUGAAGGAGAGAUAGAAAUAAUGAAGGGACAUCAAAAAGAACUAUAAGGAGAGAAAAAAAAACAAUAAAAAAAGAAUCCAAUGUAUAAAGAGAGAACAAAGAAUAUAUCUAUAAAAGAAAAGAAAUUAUAAAAGAAAAAAUAAAGGCUCAUAUUUAUAAAUUAUAAUGAGAUAUUGAAGUUGCUAUAGAUUUGAAGAAAGUAUUGAAAGUUUAGAUUUUAUAUAAAAAGAUCAAAUUUACAAUUAGUAAAAUCCUAAAAAUUACAAAGCAUGUAUUUCAUGAAAUUAUUAUAGAUACAAUAAAGAAAAAAUAAUAAUUUCUAAAAAAUACUAUGACACAAAAUGCACAAGAAAUUAGAGCAAUACAAAGUAAUGAAGAUGAAGAAGUUGAAAUGUAAUUUUUUGGAAAAGUCUUGCAAGUAAGAUUUAUAAAAAAAAAUAUGAUUUAAGCUUCUAGUCAUUAUUCUCAAAGUAAUUAGACAAGAGCUACUAUACAAAUUUUGAUACAAUUGAAAAAUUUAAAAGAAUCAAUUAUAGCAUUGAUUGAUCAUAGUUCGAAAAUUAAUUUGAUAUCAAAAGAAUUGUAUAAAAGGAGAAAAUGGCCCAUUGAUAUUGAACAUGGAUAGAUAAUAAGUAUAGCAAAUAAUUCAAAAGAAGAUUUGUAUAGAGCUUGUCAAAAUAUCAAGGUGACAAUAAGAGAUGUUAUUCAUGAACAAAAAAAAAAUUGUACAAGAUAUGACUACAUAUCCUAUUAUAUUGGAAAAACUAUAUAUUAUUACUACACAAAUAGAAAAAAAGAUAUUAGAUGAUGGUUCAAGCUAUGGAAGGAUAAGAAGUCAAGAUAGAAAGAGAGAGAUGCAAUUUUCAACAGUUUAUGCAAAUCACGAAAGAAAUCAAAUUACUUUGAGGAAGCAUUCUUUCCUAAAGAUACAUAAAGAAUUUGAAGAUCUUAAAAAUUCAAAAGACUUUUAUUAGAGAUCAUUAUAAAAUAAGAUUGCAAUAAUAGAAAGAAUGAUAGCUUUCUAUCUAAUAAAAAAAAUAAGGUUAUUAUAAGAUUAUCAUGGGAUAGAUAUAUUUCAUUCAAAAAUAUAGAUAAUUUUAGAAGGAUAGAGAAGAAAAAUAUCAAAAAUAUGGAAUAUGAAUUGAAGAAAUGUAGAGUGAUUGAUGAAGAUGAAUAAAUAUCAUAGAUGUUUGAAGAAUCUUGCUUAGGUAAAAUUAUAGAUAUUUUAUAAAUAUUAUUAGAUUUAGAUUUUGAAGGUAGUGAUAAAAUAAUAAAUGUGCAUUCUAAAAAAAUUUAUAAUAGAAUGAAAGAAUAUGUGGAUAAAUAUGAAGUAAAGGUGAACACAAAAUAUAAGACCAUUGCAAAGAAGCUUAAACUAGUGGCAUUGCUACUACCAUCAAAUUUUGAGGAAAGAGUUGAAAAGACUUCUAUAUAAUCUAAUUUAAGAAAUUCAAGAAUAAUAGGACAUGAAUUCAAGGAUGAAUUGAUAUUAGAUGGUUUGAAAGUUGGAUAUGAGGAAUUUUUAAUAAGGGAUGAAGUGAGAUGUUUCAAAGAAAUGCUUUCACAAUAUGGUAAGGCAUUUGCAUUUGAUUCAUAUAAAAUAAAAUGCGUUGAUCCAAGUAUUGUAGUAUCUAUGGUUACUUUCUUAAUUCUAGAUGAACCAUAGAAUUUGAGGCCAUUUUCAAUUCUAAAGGCCCAUUUGCUAAUACUAGUUGAAUUACUCAAUGAAAAGAUUAAGAUGGAAAUUUUAGAACCAUCUAUUGUAUCAUAUUCUAAUUGGUGGUUCACAGUAUCUAAAAAAAAUAGGACAUUGAGGUUUAUUCAAGAUAUGCAAUGCUAAAUAAAGUAACUAUUAGAAAGAUGGAUUCAGCUGCAACUGUAGAUGAAUUUGUAGAAGCAUUUGUAAAGAAAGCAAUUUAUUCUAUGGGAGAUCUUUAUUCAAGAUAUAAUCAAUUUCAAUUGGAAAUACAAAAUAGAAAUUUAACAACUAUAAAGACACCAUUAGAAUUGAUCAAAAUGUGUACUUUAUUACAAAGAGCUUCAAAUUUUGUAGUACACAUAAUAAAUGGAAUGCAUAAGAUAUUAAGAAAAUUUAUUUCAAGUAUAUCAAUGCUUUUUCUAGAUGAUGUGCUAAUUAAGGGAAAUGAAGAAGAAAAAAAAGAUGAGACUUUAGAUUAAAAGGGAUGUGAGAAGUUUGAGGUGGAUCAUAUUUAUGAUUGUGAAAAGAUUUUGACAAGGUUAAAAGAAGUUUGUUUAAUCUUAUCAAGGACAAAAUAAAUAUUUGGAAUAAAAGAAAUUUUGGUGGUAGGGCACAUAUAUGGAUCAUAUGGACAUAAGUCAAGUAUGAAAAAGGUUGAUAUUUUAAAAAAAAUUAAAUAAUAUGCAAAUAUGAUAGAAGUUAGAAGGUUGUUAGGAGCAUGUAUUUUCUAUCAUAUAUGAAUAUCUCAUUUUAUACAUAUAACAGAUCUAUUGUAUAUAUAGUUAAGAAAGAAUCAAAAGUUUCAAUAGAAAGGAGAACAAAGAAAAGUUAUGGAAAAAUUGAAAGAACUUCUUUCUUCAUCUCUAACUUUGAAGAAAGUAAAUUAUAAAUAUCAAAGGCUAGUGAUAUUAAUAAUUGAUAUAAGUCCAAUUAGAACAGACUUGAUAGUUGGACAAAAUGAUAAAUAAGGGAAUAGAUAUUCAAUAAGAUUUAAAAUAAAGAUUUUGAAUGUUAAGGAGAGGGUGUAUGUACAAAUCAAAAGAGAGUUUUGGAAUGUAGUAGUAGCUAUGAAAAAUGAAAAAGAAUACUUGAUUGAUACAUUGGUAGUUAUAAAAAAAAAAUUAUCUACUUUUAUUUUACAUGAUUAGAAGUUGUUUAAUUUCCAAUAAUUCUAUGUUAAGAUAGAAAGUAUAUGUCAAAUCUAUGAAUCCAAAAUUUAAACACAUUACAGAGAAAGAAAAUUUAGUAAUAGAUAAGUUAUCAAGAGCAAGAUGUUAAAAUGAAGAAGAUCUGAUUAAAAUAAUUAAAUAUAGAAUUUUUUGUUUUUUUAUUUUUUAUUUUUGUAUUUAAUCUAUCAUAUAUUUAAAAAAAAAAAACCAAAUUGAUUGUAUAAAGAUUCUUUUGAUAAUCACAUUAUUAAAAAUAAUCUUCAAAAAAAAUAAAAAAAUUUGAAUUGGAUGAAAAUUAUAAAUUUUAUUAAUAUUAUUUAUCUAUUUUUCAUAAGAAAAAGAAAUUAGCAAGAAUAUGUCUGUGAUUUUUUAAAAUAAUAAAUUUUAAAAAAGGGUUAUUAUUCUUUUUUUUUUUUUUUUUUUUUUUUUUUGCAAUUAUAGAUAUCAAAGACAAAAUCUAAAAAAACUUCUAAAAAGAAAAUUUAUUCAUGUACUACUAAUAUAUAUAUAUAUAUAUAUAUAUAUAUAUAUAUAUAUAUAUAUAUAUAUAUAAAUUUUAAAAAAAUUAAUUAGAAUGGUCUUUAUUUAAUAUAAAGAAAAUAGAAAGUAUUAAAUUAAGACUACAAUACAAAAAAAGCAUUGAUAAGAUUGAAAAUGGCCUUACUCUUAUCUCUCAACAUAUUAGCUAAUAAGGUCAUGUAAAAACUUUUUAUAAACUAUAAGAUUUGUGUAUCAAAUAUCUAAAUUAUAUAUUGUAUUUUUAGAAAUUUCUUAAAGUAAAGAAAAUUCUAAGAACUUUUAUAGUCACAUGAGUAACUAUAGAUCUAAUUUAUAUCUUAAAAAAUUCUAUGAAAGUUUUUUAGAAAAAUAUUCAUGAUCUUAUUGUAUUCUUUUCAACUAUUAUAUAUUUUUUUAUUACUUAUAUUUAUUUAAAUAGUAUAGUUAUUUAUCAAAAUAGGCUUGUGAAACAUACUAUAAAUAUUAUAAUUUAAAUUGAACUAUUAUUGAAAAUAAAAAUUAAAUUCUUUUAUUCACAAAAUAUAUAAAAUAUAAAAAUAAAUAAUUUUUAAUUAAAAUAUUUAUAAUUUAAUAUAUAACUUGUCAAUUAUUAUAAUUUAAUUUAAUUAUAGAAAUUAAUAUUUUUUAAGAUAUAUAUAUAUAUAUAUAUAUAUAUAUAUAACAUUUUUGUUAUAUAAUUCUAUUUGACGACAUAAAUAUAGAAAAGAUAAAAAAUCAAAAAAAAAUCAAAAAAUAUAUACUUACAAAUAUAAAGAUAUUAAAAUAAAAAAUAAAAAUAUUAAGAAUUAAAGAAUAUAAGAAUAUAAUUAAAAUAAAAAAAUAUAUAUUGAACAAAUUGAAGAUACCAUCAAUCAUCCUUCUAUAUAUGCUAGCUAUUUAAAAUGACUAUGUGGAUGCUUCUUAAAGACCUUAAGUCUUGAAAAUCAAGUUUUUAAGUUGUAUGAAGUUUCUUUUGGCAUGUUAAAAGUAUAAACUUCUAGUACUAGUUAUUAUACUAAUGUAGCAAAUCUAAAAACAUCCAAUAGCUUGAUCCAAUUCAUAAAGUGGUAUAGUUGUUUUUUAAAGAAGAUGUUAUUUAAUAAUCAUACUUCUAUUUAUUUCUAUUUACUUCUAAUUAUUUUUAUUUAUCUAAUUAAAAUUAUUAUAUAUUAUAUUAAUUUCUUUUCUAAUAAAAGAUCCAUAAUAAAUAAUCAAGUAUCUUCAAAAGUUGAUAAAGUCAAAUAUUUCUUGAAUAAUAUUUUUUAUAAAUUAUAAUCUAUGCUAUGUAUAAAAAUGAUUAUAAUUUUUUAAUUUUUAUAAUAUUCUAUAUUUAAGAAAAAAUAGCACCUAAUUAUUUAAUUUUUAUUGAGGCCUUUACAAUUAUCUUCAAAUAACACAUUUAAUAUGCCACUAAUUUUAAUACUCACUUUAAAUAAUUAUACAAAGCACCAAGUUUUUUCUAAGAUUGGGAUAUUAUAUUUUUAAUAUUUAUUCAUUCAUUUAAAUAAGAAAAUUUCUUUGUUGAAGCUUUUCAUUCUUUUUAUAGCCUUUAAAGAUAAAAUUAAUCUAAAUGAUUUUUCUUGUAAUUUUAUAAAUAUUAGUUUUAAAAUAAAUUUUCUAACUUUUAAUAUUUUAUUUUUUCAAUACGGAAUCCAUGAAAAAAUUAAGUAGAUAAGAGUCGGAUUCGAUUUUUGAUUUUUUUUUUUUAUAUUAUGUUUUUAAUGAUAAGUCAUGAAAUUUAAUAAGUGUUAUAAUUAUUAUAAAAAAUAAAAUUUUAAGCAUAUUUAUAAGAUUUAACCAUGGUUUUGUAAUGCACUUAUUAAUAUCUAAUCUAAAUUAAUGUAGAAGAGACUCUUUUUUAUAUAUUUAUUUAUUUAAAUCUAAAUAAUUUUUUAGUUUAAAUUGACUAUUAUCUAUUUUAAUAAGAAGUAGUAGUAAUUAAUUUUUUUAUUUCAUUUAUUGUAUUAUAAGUUUANNNNNNNNNNNNNNNNNNNNNNNNNNNNNNNNNNNNNNNNNNNNNNNNNNNNNNNNNNNNNNNNNNNNNNNNNNNNNNNNNNNNNNNNNNNNNNNNNNNNNNNNNNNNNNNNNNNNNNNNNNNNNNNNNNNNNNNNNNNNNNNNNNNNNNNNNNNNNNNNNNNNNNNNNNNNNNNNNNNNNNNNNNNNNNNNNNNNNNNNNNNNNNNNNNNNNNNNNNNNNNNNNNNNNNNNNNNNNNNNNNNNNNNNNNNNNNNNNNNNNNNNNNNNNNNNNNNNNNNNNNNNNNNNNNNNNNNNNNNNNNNNNNNNNNNNNNNNNNNNNNNNNNNNNNNNNNNNNNNNNNNNNNNNNNNNNNNNNNNNNNNNNNNNNNNNNNNNNNNNNNNNNNNNNNNNNNNNNNNNNNNNNNNNNNNNNNNNNNNNNNNNNNNNNNNNNNNNNNNNNNNNNNNNNNNNNNNNNNNNNNNNNNNNNNNNNNNNNNNNNNNNNNNNNNNNNNNNNNNNNNNNNNNNNNNNNNNNNNNNNNNNNNNNNNNNNNNNNNNNNNNNNNNNNNNNNNNNNNNNNNNNNNNNNNNNNNNNNNNNNNNNNNNNNNNNNNNNNNNNNNNNNNNNNNNNNNNNNNNNNNNNNNNNNNNNNNNNNNNNNNNNNNNNNNNNNNNNNNNNNNNNNNNNNNNNNNNNNNNNNNNNNNNNNNNNNNNNNNNNNNNNNNNNNNNNNNNNNNNNNNNNNNNNNNNNNNNNNNNNNNNNNNNNNNNNNNNNNNNNNNNNNNNNNNNNNNNNNNNNNNNNNNNNNNNNNNNNNNNNNNNNNNNNNNNNNNNNNNNNNNNNNNNNNNNNNNNNNNNNNNNNNNNNNNNNNNNNNNNNNNCAGAUAUAUAUGAUAUAAUCUCAUUUUUUUUAUAAACUCAAAGGUUUAAAUAUACAUGUUAGUCUUUAAUUAUAUAAAAGUAGUAUUAAUGCUUAGUAUAGUUUUUUUUUAGAUAUAAUUCUUUAAUAACUAAUUAAUUUUAUGUUAGAAGUUAGGUCCAAAAUUGCUCUUAAACUUACUUUGACCAAACUUAAGUAGAAUCUACACAAGCGCCACAUGCUACCACUACUAUAUGUUGGAUUCUCUAGAAGUAAAUAGCUUAAAUAAAGCUGAGAUGAUUGAAGUGGUGACUUUCCAAUUAUUAUUCCAAGACUAGAUAUUACUCAGUAUAGAAUAAUAUUUGGUAAAUGCCUAUAGCCAUGAUCUUAAUAGAAUCUUUGGAACUCAAUCAGAUUUAUUUGAUAGAACAUUGUAAUAAAUGUUAAAACAUACAAUUGAUAAAGGAGUUAAUAAAGAUUGGUGAUUGAGCCAAUACCAAAAGAAAAGCCAAAUAAUAUUGAUUGAAGAUCAAUGAUGGCAUUUUCUAUAAGAUUUAUGUUUAAUUAUUUUUUAUUUAAUAAGAUGUUAUUUUUUUUCUAUAACCUAUAGUAAUAAGUAAUAGAUACAAAUGUAGUCAUUUCUAAAACAUAUUAGCAACUAACAAAGAGCAGUCAAAACUUUGAGAUAGUUUUAAGAUAAUUUCUAUAAAAAUAAGAAACGUGCAUUAAUUCAAGAUGCAUGUGAAUAUUAAAAAUUGAUUAAGAAAAAAUGAUGUUGAAUAAUUAAGGAGAAAGGUUGAAAAGUUAGUAGAUAAGAAUUUAAUAGAGAGGUUGUAGAUUGAGAAUUAAAAUUACUUAGAAAGAUGAAAAAAUUGAAACAUGAUGUAAAAUUAGUUUUGAGGAAGAUUAAAUCUAAAAAUUUAAAAACAAGUGAAUGAAAGCAAAGUUAAGAGUGGAUAUGAUAAAUAUCAAGUUGGGGAUGUAUCACAAAUAUACAUAGGUACUCUAAUAACUAUCUAUAUGAUUAUGUAGAAGUAAGUAAAAGUAGAUAAAAGUAGGUUAAUUUCAUAAGACCUUCUAGACAAGCUUUCUAAAAGCUUCAUAGAUAUUUCUUUGACUUUACAUGUAUUUGUAGUUGAUUUAUAGGUUAGAAACUUGGUCAAAAAGUUAACCACAAGUUGGUAGCUUGCGGAAGAAGGUAACUAUGUGGUACACAUAUAAGAAACUUGUCUUGCAAAGCCAACACAUUUUGGAGGUCCUAUAAGAUAUUUCCAUGUAUCUCCUAGUUAAGAGUAUAUAUAGAGGCAAGAAUAAAGCCUUCUUUAUUCUUGCCAACAUCUUUUUAGUCGUUAGUCUUCUUUCAAGACUUUCUAGUCCUCUUAUUUUUGGCAAUGGCCAUUCUAGUUCAAUAUUAUAUCAUAUUUGAAUGACUUUUUAGUUCCUUUCAAUAACUCAAGAGAGUUUUGAAGAUUUUCUUUCUUCAAGAUUCAUGUCCUUAUUAGGUUGUUAUUUGACUUUCUUUGAGAUUUUUGAAUUAAUUAAAUUAUAAAAGAAUUAGUCAUGGAUAAGAUUCUUUUAGAGAUGAAAGAUAUAAUUUGGAAUUUAAGAAGUGAGACUUGCCUUUAAUCACCAAAAACUAUAAACUUAAAGACAUAAUGAAUAGGCUUUUGUAAAAAAGAAGAAAAAUUGAUCAUAGAACCAUUUCAAUUUUUUACACUAUUCUUACAACAUCUAAGAAGAAUAUAAGUUUUAUUAUAUUUUAAAUUUAAUGAUAAAAAAGGUUAUAAAUUCUUGAUCUUUAUCUUCUACCUUAAUCAUUAAUAUCAUAUUAAUAAAACUUAGAUUACAAUUAUUUCAAAAGUACUAUUUGGCUCUUGGACGGAGAAUUGGGUAGUUAUGUUCUUGAAUAAGAUUUGGUGAGCUUCUUUUGAGAUUUAGAAGCCAAGGUUUUUUAGAGUAUGUUCCUUCUUCUAUUACAUAUAUAAGAUUUAUAAUCUAUUAAUGACCAAAGAAAAAGAAAAAUGGGUAAAGUAACAUAUUGGUUGGCACGAUGAGGUAGUUGAAGUUUGAAUCGUGGAAGAAAAGCUAAACAUAUUUUUAACAAAAGAUAAUUAUAAAGAAGUUUUAGAAUCAAUUCAUAGAAUUAAUCUUUGAUUGAAUCUAGACUUAUUUCAUAUAGGAACUUGAAUUUCAAUUUGAAAGAGUAAAGAGAUUUUUAUAUGAGAUAGCAAUCUCUUGUAUGAACUAAAUACAAAAUUUUGUACAAAAUAUUUUGAUGAUAUAAUUAAAUAUAUUUUUAACAAUGAAAUCAUAUUCUUAAACAUUAAAAUUAAGCUUUCAUUCUAUUAAUAACUUCAAGUCUCAAAGCUAAGUAAAUGUUGAAGGAAUUGGUACAUAUGUAUUUGUUACAUAUUUAUUUAUUUUUAUCUUGCAAUAUAAUCCAACAUGUCUUAAUUUUUGUAACAUAAGAUAAAAAAAUAUUAUUUAUAUGUAUUUUUUAUUAUUACAAUCAAUAAGAAUAUUUUUAUAAAAUAUAUAAAAUAAUUAAAAAUUUUAAAAAAAAUAUACGAAUUAUUAAAUUUAAAAAAUUAAUCAAUUUUUUUUAGUCUUAAAAACAUGAUUUUGUAUCCAAAAUAAAAAUACUUGGUUAAAAAAAACAUCUUCAAUUCAAUGCCUUCUCUAAUAUGUACUAGAUUACAAUUCUUUUAUAGAUCUAUUUUAUAUAAAUUUUAGAUUCAAAUAAUUAUAUAAGAAGUUUUAAUAUAAAAAUAAAAGAAAAAAAAUCUAUAAUAGUUAAGUUGUUUAAUUGAUUGUAAUCUAUAAUUAUUUGAAAGGAUCUUUUAUUAUUAUUAUUUUAUAGUUUUUUAUUAAUAUUUUUAUAAAGGAUUUAAAUUUUUAUUUAAAUAAAUUUCUUAAGAAUAUAUUUGUCAGAAUAUUUAUUAAAAUUGGUUAUAUUUAAAUUAAUUUCAAAAUAUUCUAAAUAAAAAAUAAUUUUUUCUUUUGCAUCAAUUUUAUAAUUAUAAAAAUAUAUUUAGAUAUCAAUAAUAGAUAUUUUUUAAAUAUAUUUUAAAUCUCAUUAUAUUUUUCUAACAUUACACUACAACUUCCACUCAAAUAAAAAUCACAAGCACUCAAGUCUUUUUAAGCAUGUACAAAUAUCUUUAUUUUAAUAGAUAGAGAUUUAAUUUUUUUUAUAUAAAACAUAUUUUUUCAUUUAAUGAAUUUUCUAUAUAAUCAAGUCUUGAUGAAAGUUUUUUAAAAAAACUUGAUAUUAAUAAAUAAAAAAAAUUAAAAGAAAAAUGAUAAAUUACACCAUAUUCAAGAACCUCAUGCAUUAGAUUAUAUUUUACUUCAUUACAACGUUAAUUUGUUUAAAUCUAAACUAUAUACAUGCUCUCGAUUUUUUUAUUUUUUUGUUAUUGUUUCUUGUAAUUUUUCUUCUUUAUCAGGUAAAUGCAUUUUAAUGUAAUUAUUUGUUGAAAUGUAAUCAUAUAUUAUAGUUUUUAUAGCCCCCGCUCACAAAAAAAUGCUUUUGCUCUUAUAACUUUGAUUCCAACUCCAUUUUUUAUUUUUUUGUUAUUGUUUCUUGUAAUUUUUCUUCUUUAUCAGGUAAAUGCAUUUUAAUGUAAUUAUUUGUUGAAAUGUAAUCAUAUAUUAUAGUUUUUAUAGCCCCCGCUCAUAAAAAAAUGCUUUUGCUCUUAUAACUUUGAUUCCAACUCCACAUGUACUUAUAUAGUAGUAUACUAUUAUAUUUUCUUGAUAUAUUUUGUUCUUGCUUCAUUAAUCUUUUUCUAGUUUUGAUAUCCAUUCCUACAUAUAUAAUAUUUUUUAAAAAAUAAUUAUUAAAAACUUUUCUAUUUGUUUUUUUUUUGUUUUGUUUUUAGUUUCAUAUUUUAAAUUUCCUAAUUUCAUAUAAUUUUGUAGCUAAAAAUAUUAUCUUCUAAGACUAUCAAAAAAUAAUUAUGCACUUUGCAAAUCUUUUACCAAACUUUUCUUCUCAAUUAUAACUAACUCUUGUUACACUAUACAAGUCUAAAACCAUCCAAUGAGACUCUACAUUCUGAAAAAAUUGUAACAUAACAAACUUCAAUUACAUUUAAAAGCCUAGUUUGAAAGGUCAUGGUUCAAAAGCAUUAUUAAGGUUCCAUACUUGGUAAAGAAAAGCAUUAUUUUAGAAGCCUUGACCUUUUGAUAUAAUAUUAAAUAAGAAGAGGCUAUAAAAUAAAUCAACUUCUUUUAAUUAUUUAUUAUUAGUUAGAAAUUAACAAGAAAUAUUUUAGAAGAGUGUUUUUGAUUUAUUUCCAAUUAAAUGAUCAAUCUAAGAUAUCACAAUGUAUUUUAUUAUUUCAAAACAUAAUACUAUUAUAUUUAACAAAAAUCAAUAGAUUGGUACAAAUGAUGUGUGUGAGAUUUUGUUUUAUUGUUAUUACCAAUUAUAAGUUUUAUAAACUUAAAUUUAUUUGUUAUUUUUUUUGAUGUUUCUCUAGUUUAUUUUACUUUAAGGAAUAAAGCAACACCAACACAUUCCAAUAUUUUUCUUAAGCAUUACUUAAUCAGUUGAUAUUUGCAACACUUGAUAUGUAGUUAUUAUAAGGAUGAUUUUUUUAAUGUACCUUCAUCAAAGAUAAAGAUUUUGAUCUUAAAUUGGUAGAAUGUAUACAAAAUUAUUGUUAGUCAAUACUUGAGUUACUUUUAAAAAUCUAAAAAUAUCAAAAACACUUAAAAUAGGAAAAAGUUUAUAUAUAUCCAUGUGAUUUGUAAUAUUUAAAAUAAAAUCCCUGUAAUUUUUGGAAAUUAUGGGAAUUCCCUUCAGAGAAUAUUCUUUGAAUUUUUUGUUGUUGCAGUUGCAGACACAAUCAUUGUUGCACACAGCAAAUUUUGUGACUGCACAAUAUCUUGUGCACCUACCCCUUUUGCAAACCAAAAUAUGGAGGAAGACCCACAUUACAUGAACAAGCAUAUGCAUACACAUGAUGUUGAAGAUGAACCCCUAAAAGGGUGUUGAGAAGGGUAUUCCCACAAUUUCCAAAAUUACAAUGGUAUCCUUCAAAAUAUGGUAAAUUGCAGGGGGAUUUAUCCAAAUUUCCCUUAUAAAUAUAAUAUAUACACACACACAUCUUCUUAUGAUUCAAUGCUUCAGCAGAUAGUAAAAACGUGAUACUUUAAUUCUUUUUUUUAAAUAUCUUUCAUGGGAUUAAUAAUAAUCAAAACGUAUCAAAAGUUUUAUAAAAUCAAUUUCUUGUACUGUCUCUAUUGCAAAAUAUGAUAAAGACUAUUUCUAAAAAUAUUGUAUUAAAUCAGUUGGUUUUGAAUAAAAAUAUACACAGAGGUGUUGAAUUCUAAUUUUCUAAACAAUUAUAUAAUGUUUUUGGUCUUUGAAAAGGUAGAAAAAUCAGAAUCAAAUUAUAUUAAUAUCAGAUAUAUUGACGUUUAAUAAAAAAAAAAUAUAUAUAUAUAUAUAUAUAUAUAUACGUUUGAAUAAACAUUAUGUGAAUAAUAUAUAGUAUAAUAUUAAUAACUUAAUAAUCAUAAUCAUAAUAAUAUUUUUAUCAUUUAUCAUAAAGAUUUGGUUUUAUGCACGUAUUUAAUGAUUGACAGAAUUUCUUUUGAAGAAAUAUUGAAAUUUCACAUACAUACAAACAUUUUGUUAAUUUGGUUGAAAUGUGCCAUUACCAUAUAAUACUCUAAAUACGUUAAACCACUUGUAUAACGUCCAAUGUUUUUAGUUCCUCAUAACUUUCACAUAGAGAAAAAUAAAUUUUGCUAAAAUGGUCACUGCAUUAACUGUUGUCGAAAUAUGCAUUCUAUCAUUCAUAGCUAAUGUUUUAAAAAAUAACUAAAAAAUAAAAAUAAAGAUAAAAUAAAACAAAUCCCAAACACACAGUAAGUAAAGCACUUUUGACGGACAAUGUUUGAUAACUUGUAAUACUUCCGCCAUUCACACAUUGUGUGUCUCAAUCACGUGAAAAUAACAUGUUGAAAGAAACAAGUAGGGUGAUAAAGAGUGAGAGAGUGAGCAGCAGCAGAGUAGGAGUGCAGCUCUCGCUUGAGGAAUGAAUGGGGCUGCGGAGUAGUGAGCCAUGCAUGGCCUGGGUGGCGCGACGGCGGAGGAAGGGUUGCUGCACCACAAGCGAGGAGAAAGCCAUCGCUUGUGGAAACCGAGGAGGAAUGGAAUGGGAUCGGGAGCGAGGCGCGACGCCACGGGCGGAGGUCCCAGCAGCAGCUGCAGAGGGCCCACGGCCAGAGAAUCAGCGACAACGCCAGGGCCGAACUCAGCCAGCCAUUGGAGACUGCUACGCCUUAUCCGAAUCCAUUGGUCACCAGCUUGUGGCGGACGGACGCCAUGGCCACUACGCUUUGCUUCAUCUUCCUCGUCGCGCCGCCUCCUUUGCACAUUCUCUGUCCUCGUUAUUGAUCGCGUCCUCCACUCCCCCUGAGUCGUCGCUGUGGGGUUCCCUCUUUGGGUGAGGAGUAAUGGCAGCCAUGGCAGCAGCGAAGGCUGAGUUUCUGGGGCAGUCCCUGGUGGGCAGCCAGAGCGAGGUGGUUGGCCAGAGGAAGGAGGCCAUGCGCACCGUGGCUCUGUUCAACAAGAAGGACGCUGGAAAGGCAGCCGCGCCAGUGAAGAAGGCCGCUGGAAAGGCAGCCAGCGCUGUGAAGAAGGCGAACACUAAGGUGAAUGUUCCCAGCAACGAGGAGUUGGCCAAGUGGUACGGUAAGUAUUGGCGAGUCGCUCUGCAAUUUGGGCCUUGUGGAUUGUAAGAGUUGAAUUGCGGGGUUACAGAUGAUCUACGCUUAGGGGGCUUCUCUUUUCGAGCACUGCAUAUGGCCAAUACAGUGAUAGAAGGGCUUGCAGCGAUGCAAUGCUCGCCGGCUUUUGUGCCUCGAAGUAGGAAUGUGUUUGGUCGUUGUAGCUGUUAUGCUCUAUAUUUACAGUUGCAGUGUCUGACUAGUCAUUGUUUGCGACAACGCAGGUCCUGAUAGGAGGAUUUACUUGCCCGAGGGUCUUUUGGCCAAGGAUGAGAUUCCUGCGUACCUCACCGGAGAAGUCCCCGGAGAGUACGUUUUCUUGUUCUCUUUCUGUUCGCAUGUCUAGGAAGAACAGUUUACCAUAUUUUAAUCACCCUCGCCGAUGUAGAAGGGUUCAAUGAAAUGGGUUGCGUUGAGGCUUUCUAAAUGUGUGACCGAAUUGUGACAAUGCAGCUAUGGAUACGAUCCCUUCGGUUUGUCAAAGAAGCCAGAGGACUUCGACAGGUAAAUAUCCGAUAUGUUUUUGUUUCUCAUUUACCACGACGAUGUCGCGAUUUGGAGUCUACGACUUAAAUUUUUCUGACGGAAAUGUUUCUUCAGGUACCAGGCAUACGAGCUGAUCCAUGCGCGUUGGGCUAUGUUGGGAGCCGCUGGGUUUGUUCUUCCCGAGGCAUUCAACAAGUUCGGAGCCGUCUGCGGCCCUGAAGCCGUCUGGUGGAAGGUAUGCUACUGUGUCUUUCCGUGCUACUCCGAGUCGGCCAAUUUCCGAGCAGCCUCUGCUGUGUAGAUGCUGUGCGUAGAGAAGUCCAUGUGGACGUAGGCAUAUCAUUCUGAUGAACUGAGUCUAAUCUUAUCAGACUGGAGCAUUGCUGCUGGAAGGUGACUCCAUCAAGUACUUCGGAGCCACCGUUCCCAUCAACCUGGCCGCCGCCGUGAUUGCCGAAGUUAUCCUGGUUGGAGGAGCUGAGUACUACAGAUCGACUAACAAGUCUCCCCUCGGAUCGGUAUGUCCCUGCACCAAUUCGCUGUCAUGUGGAGAAAAAGGUGGUAGACAAGACAGAGGUGGCCUUAUCAUGGUUUGGGGGUGUGGCGAGGUGAAUCGAUCUUUGAACUGUCCACGUUCUGACCGUGAGGGAUGUUUAUGGAUUGCAGGACUUGGAUAGGCUGCACCCAGGAGGUGCAUUCGACCCUUUGGGGCUUGCAAAGGACCCCGACCAGUUCGCGCUGUUGAAGGUGAAGGAGAUCAAGAACGGGAGGUUGGCUAUGUUUUCGAUGCUGGGGUUCUUCGUCCAGGCAUACGUGACUGGAGAGGGACCGGUGGAGAAUUUGGCUGCACACUUGAGCGACCCAUUCGGAAACAACUUGCUGACCGUCAUCCAGGGUACUGCUGAGCGGACUCCCAGCCUUUAAGCAAGAAAAGCUGGAUAUGUAGUGACUGCCGAGGAUUGGGAAUGUAUAGACCUAGGAGAUCUUAAUGCACGAAGCUCGUUGCUUGGAGAAAAUUCAUCGUACAUAUUGGAUAUGUGAAAGACAAUGCAGUUAGAAAACCUGCUUUCCUUUGCGUUAAUUUAGCUUCGCUUUGAAGACUGAGUUUUUCAAAUUGAAGUGAUGACUCUUUUAAACUAACCAAGUCCACGAUUAUCGAUAUGUGAAUGGUAUGAGACUAUGACGUGUCUUCUUUAAACUGUUUUCCUAUCUCAAUCGCAAUCCAAUUCGUUGCCCAGUUACAAUUAUGAUGGUAUUCAUAGUUUACCUAACAACUAUCAGUCGUCAGAAUUCGUGCUCAAACUCAUAAUUCCUUGUGUGCCAUACAGCAGCAGACAAUGUGAAUCAUAAUAAUUUGUCGUGCAACAUUUCUCAAAAUAUUCGGCCGAUGAACUAUUUAACUGUCUCAAUCAAUGUGCUCACUUCCACGUGUCUCGUGCACCAGCGACAAUAUUGAUAUGAACUAUCAUCGAACACUGUCAUAAUCUGUGCUGACCCAACUAACACUUUCAAAAUGUGACGAGAAGGACGCUAUAAAAACUCUCUAUUCGAUGCCAUCCAAUUGCUACAACCUGCCCUGGACAAUCUACUGGCUACAACAAGUCAAGCUGCUUCAGUGACACUAUGUCGUGAGAAAGAAGGUCAACUAUUCCCGAAAAGUGAGAGGCCCCAAUUCAUCGAAUCCUUAAGAAUCUCCGUCGAGAAGUAAAUAGUAUUUGCAUCGCCAUUGGAUGUCUGAGGGCGCCUUAUCCAUAUCCUACUGGCUACGCUCAUGGUUACACAAGCUCGCCAUCCUUUCGCUCAUGCCCUGGAGUGCUCACGUCGUUCUUCUACACACAGCCAUCAUCUAUGGUGGUGGUGGUAAUCUGCCAGAGCCUCCAAUUUAGCAACAAUCUGGUGAGGAGCGAUGGCGGCCAUGGCAGCUGCAAAAGCUCAGUUUCUGGGUCAGUCCCUGGUGAGCAGCUGGAGAGGAGUGUUAAAAGAAGAGAAAAGAAGCAAGCAUAACAGAAUUGAUCAUCUGUUAUUAUUCUCUUAAAGCGUGUAUUACAGAGGUUGAUGACAACCUAUAUAGGUUGUAGAUUGAUUACCAAAAUAUAUAGAUAAGACAUUCAAUUGGUGAUAGUCCUUGUUCUUUACUAAUUAUUUAAUCCAAAUAGCUUUUUUGUACAAGCUAUAUAUUCUACUUUGAUAGAAGAUAAUGCUAUAAUAGGUUGUUGCCAACUUUGCCAAGAAAUAACUCCACCGGCUAAUGUAAAUAUACAACUAAGAAUGGAUCUUUGGUAGUUUUCAUCACAUGUCCAAUUACUACUACUUAAAUCUUAAAUUUAAUGUUGAUAUUCAAUUAAAUUUUAUUUACUUUGAUGAAUAAUUUUAUAAUUUAAAAUUCCUUUAAGAUAUCUUAUUAUACCUUUUAUUGUAGAUCAAUGUGCUUAACUUGGAUUAGCUAUAAAUUUGGCAACUUGGCAAAUAGAAAAAGUAAUAUCAAGCCUAAUAUGAAUCAUGGCAUGUAUUAAGCACCUUACAAUAAUUAAGUACAAGACAUCCUUCAUUAUCUUUAUAUUUUUAUGAUCAAUGAAACUUAUAUCCAUAGUCAAUCUUAAUUUGGCUUCAAGAAGGAUUGAAACGGGUUUAUAAUCUUAUAUAUUAAAUCUUAUAAAAAUUUCAGUUAUAUAUUUAUUUUAUAAUAAACUAAUAGACUUGUUAAUUUUAUUGUAUUCAACCAUUAUACUUUGGCAACCAUAUCUACUUUCAAUAGAUCUUUUUUUAGUCAUUUCAAAGCCACUUGCCAAAAGUCUUUAAGUAGUAUUUAAGAAAUAUAUAUUAUUACUAAUAAUAAUAGAGUUGUCUACAUAUGAUGUCUAUAUAAUAAAAUUUUGAUGCAUUAGCUCUCUUUUAAUAUAUAUACUAGAAUCUAUUUUACUAUAAGAAAAAUCAUUUUCAAUAAAUUAAUGGUUAAAUUAUUCAUACCACAUACACAAAAUUUAUUUUAAUCCAUAUAUACAUUUAAUAACUUAUAAACUAUAUGUAUAAAGUAAAGAUCAAUAUAACUCUUUGGUUGAGCCAUAUAAAUUUGUUUAUUUAAAAGACCAUGAAGAAAUACGGGCUUAAUGUCUAUUUGAUAAACAUUUAAAUCAUAUAUUGUAGUUAGGGAUAAUAAAAUAUACAAUGAAUUUAUUUUUAUCAAAAUAAAAAAUAUCUUUUCAUAGACAAUAUUGUUUUCUUGUGAAAAACACCUAGCAACCAAUUGAGCCUUAUAAUAGGUGAUUAUUCUAUUAGGAUUAUAUUUUCUUUUCGAAAUCCAUUUAUAACUUACAGUGACUCAAAAAACUAUUUCAAUGUUGACAUAUUUUAGAAAGAAUGGUGUAUUACAGAUGAAUUGUUCUGAAUAACGACAUGUGGUAUAUAUAGCAAAUAAAGUAUUCUUUUACAGCUACCAAAUGAGUCCAGGUUGAAAAGAAUCCAUUAGGUAAUUGUGGAGCUAUGACCAAUCUAAUUUGGAAUAGUAUUGAAACAAUCUUUUGACUAUGGUGUCAAAUUUUUGGAUUCUAUCAAUUACUUAAUAUUAUAACAUUCUAUCAUCAUUAGAUUUAUUAUGAAAAUAUUAUUACUAAUCUAAUGAUAUUAUUAAUGCUUACUAGCAGGUAUAAAAGCACUAUUAUUAAUUACAAUUCCUAGCACAGACAUAUUCUAAAUUAUUACAUUCUAAGUCCUUUUAGAAUCUUCUACAAAUUUCUAAAAUCUUCUAGAUAUUUGUAGAAUCUUCUACAAUCUUUUAGAAAGUUCCAUAGGCUUUUAGAAGCCUCUUUAGGCUUUUAGAAGCCUCUUUAGGCUUUUAGAAGCCUCUUUAGGCUUUUAGAAGCUUCUUUAGACUUCUAAAAACUUCUAUAGAAAGUACUAUAGACUUUUGUAACCUUCAUUAUAGUAUAAAUAUGAAUCUUUGGAACCACUUUUACUAUUAAUCUUAUUCUUUGUCUUUAAUCUUAAUAUAUUUCUUUGUCAAAUUCUUGUAUCCUUGACAAUUCCUUAAACAACUAGGAAAUCCAUUUCUUGCUCUCUCCAAAAUAACAUCACCUCUACUCUUCUUCAUUCUCAAAAAUCUUAUGGCCAAAUUGCUUCUGAACUUGGCUGUAGUAAAGCUACUAUCUCUAGGCUAGCAAAAAAGAUCACUUUUAAUAGGGAGAAUCUUAAAUUAGGUAGACUAAAGAAGCUCACUGUAGUAGAUGAAAGAACAAUCAUUUGCCAAAUCAACAUUGGGAAGAUUGAAAAUGUUAUUGAAGUUGCUAAAAAUCUUUAUAAUAUUAUCAAUAAUCCUAUGUCAAUCCAAACCAUUUGAAAUGUCCUUAAGAAAUAGAAUCCGAAAGCUGCGGUAAAAAAAAAACAAACAAACAAACAAACAAACAAACACUAUUAUCUAUCUGCCAAUAGAAACAAUGCUUGGAUUUUCCUCUGAAGUACAAAGAAUGGAUUGUGGAGAAUUAGAAGAGGAUUAUUUGGUGAAAUGAGACAAAAAUCAAUAGAUUUGGGUCAGAUGGCAAAAAAAAGGAUGUAAAAAUAAAAAGAACAAUCUUUACUUGACAAAAAGAUAUAAGAAAUAAUUAAGCAUGGAGGUGGAAAUAUAAUGGUAUAGAGUUGUAUGGAAUGGAAUGGAGUUGAUAGAAUGGCAGAGGUUGAAGAAAGGAUAGAUGUCAAGCAAUUUGUAGAAAUUUUUGAAAAAAAUCUACUUCUUAGCAUUGAAGAAUCUAGCAUUUUUGAAGAAGAAGUGAUUUUUCAAUAAGAUAAUAAUCCCAAGCAUAACUCAAAACUAGCAUCAAAGUGGUUUGAUCAUCAUAGGAUUAAAGUAAUAGAUUGGUCUGCUCAGUCUCCUCAUCUUAAUCCCAUUGAACAUCUUUGGAAGCACCUCAAAUGUCAGCUCAAUACCUAAAAGAUAAAACCAAAGGAUUGGAAAAUAUGAGAAUUAAUAGGUGUAGAAUGGAAUAAUAUUAAAGCAAUUUUGUGCCAAAAGUUAAUAGAAAGUAUGCCUAGGAGGUUGAAAUUAGUUAUCAAGGCCAAAAAAGGUCCUAAAAAAUACUGAUAUGUAAUUGGAUGCCACAUUCAUAAUUUUUUUUUAAUAUUGUUCGAAAUUGAAUUGGUCAUAGUUUCAUAAUUACCUAAUGGAUUCUUUUCAACCUAGGCUCAUUUGGUAGUUGUAAAAGAGUACUUUAUUUGCAAUAUAAACCACAUGUCAUUAUUCACUAUAAUUCAUUUGUAAUACACCAUUCUUUCCAAAAUAUGUCAAUAUUGAAAUAAUUUUUUGAGUCACUAUAUUAUAAAGCAUGUUAAUGAAAGAUCCUUCAAAAUUCAUGUAUUUUUUUAAAUUAAAGAACCAUAUUUAGAAUUUAAUGCUUCUUUCCACUUCGUAGUAUCUUCACCAUUUAAAGCUUUUGUAAUUAGAUAAGAUUCAUUAGAAUCAUGUAAAGUAAAUAAAUAAUAAGUAAUAUAUGAUUAUAAUAUUUAUUUAAUAAUUUUUUAUUAUUAAUAUUUUGGAUUUUUUUGGUAGAUUGAAUGAUAAAAUUCUUAAAUUAGUUAAAUGAGUAUUCUUAAUUAUAUCAUCAUUAUUUGACAAAAGAUUUUUUAAAGCAAUUAAUAAUUCAAAAAAUAUUUCUUCAUGUUGAAAUUUACUUUGAAUACAUUAGUAUGAUUACUUUGAAUACUUUGAACCUUAGUAUGAUUACUUUGAAUACUUUGAACCUUAGUAUGAUUACUUUGAAUACUUUGAACCUUAGUAUGAUUACUUUGAACAUUAGUAUGAUUACUUUGAAUACUUUGAACAUGUAUCAUGAGAAGACAUAACAUCAUUACAUAAUAUUGAUUGUCAAAUUGAAGUAAUUUUUGAAAAUUGUUAUAAAAGAAUAUAUUUUGUCAAGUAGAUAUCUUAAAUCAUGUUUCAACUAAAGCAUCAAUAAAGCUUUUGUUAUCAUUAUUGUCAUUUUGUAUUCAUUUCUUUCUUUGAGUAAAUAAAGUUUUUAAUAAGGUAAUUCCAUCAAAGAUAAUAUUACAACUAACAAUUUUUUUUUAUUUUUAAUUAUAUAAUAGAUAUUAUUCACCAUAGCCAAAAAAAAUAUAUUUUUUAUUUUUUAUAUCAAGCUUAUGUUGGUACUCAUUAAAAAUAUGUACAUAUGUUAUAUAUCCAUAGAUCUUCAAAUGACUUAAAUGAGGUGUUUUACCACAAUAUAAUGUCAAAAAAGUCAUUGAAGCUUCUAAUGUCUUUAAAAAGGUUCUAUUUUGUAUAUAACAAGUUGUGGCCUUGGCAUCUGCCCAAAAAAAUUGGAUAAUCUAGAUGUAUGCAAUAGACAUCUUGCAAACUUUAAUAAAAUUUUAUUCUUUUGUUUGCUAACACCAUUUUGUUCUAGUAUAUAGGAUAUAGUGAAUUGACAUAUUAUUCCAUGUUGAACACAAAAAUAAUUUGUCCAAGAAACCUGAGGACUUUGGCAGGUGGAGUCUCGGUCUACUCACACAUUUGUCAUCUGCUACAUCCAUUUUUAUUGUUCAGGAAUUUGAGUAAUUGUUUCGGGCUUUGGAUUGAGGGUUCUUGUAUCUACAUUCCGCAGUUACCAAGCUUAUGAGCUUAUCCAUGCUCGAUGGGCCAUAUUGCGAGCCGCUGGCUUUGUUCCUCCUAACGCAUUCAACAAGUUUGGCUCCGUCUGCGGCCCUGAAGCUAUGUGGUGGAAGGUACGUAAUGAAGUGAAUAUCCUCUCGGGUGUGCUCUCAUGUAGACAUGGAGUUUACAUCUUAGUGACAUUUGCUGGUGUUAGAAUCGCAGAUGAGCACUUGUUGCGAAAGCAAUGUUAGUGGUUUUAAUACUCAGUUAUUUUAACCGAGUAACUUGAUUCUGACGAGACUUAUGUGUUCAUUAGACCGGAGCAUUACUGCUGGAAGGUGACUCCAUCAAGUACUUCGGAGCCACCGUUCCCAUCAACCUGGCCGCUGCCGUGAUUUCCGAGGUUAACCUGGUUGGAGGAUCCGAGUACUAUAGAUCGACCAACAAGUCUCCCCUCGGAUCGGUAUGUCCCUGCACCAAUUCGCUGUCAUGUGGAGAAAAAGGUGGUAGACAAGACAGAGGUGGCCUUAUCAUGGUUUGAGGGUGUGGCGAGGUGAAUCGAUCUUUGAACUGUCCACGUUCUGACCGUGAGGGAUGUUUAUGGAUUGCAGGACUUGGAUAGGUUGCACCCAGGAGGUGCAUUCGACCCUUUGGGGCUUGCGAAGGAUCCCGACCAGUUCGCGCUGUUGAAGGUGAAGGAGAUCAUGAACGGGAGGUUGGCUAUGUUUUCGAUGCUGGGGUUCUUCGUCAAGGCAUACGUAACUGGAGAGGGACCGGUGGAGAAUUUGGCUGCACACUUGAGCGACCCAUUCGGAAACAACUUGCUGACCGUCAUCCAGGGUACUGCUGAGCGGACUCCCAG
This 23102-nucleotide long non-coding RNA is filed under the name Physcomitrium patens. RNAcentral describes it as "long non-coding RNA (PPAT_LNC003130)". Lineage: Eukaryota; Viridiplantae; Streptophyta; Bryopsida; Funariales; Funariaceae. The record is from RNAcentral.